CUGAUCCAGCCAUGCCGCGUGUGUGAAGAAGGCCUUUUGGUUGUAAAGCACUUUAAGCGAGGAGGAGGCUACCGAGAUUAAUACUCUUGGAUAGUGGACGUUACUCGCAGAAUAAGCACCGGCUAACUCUGUGCCAGCAGCCGCGGUAAUACAGAGGGUGCAAGCGUUAAUCGGAUUUACUGGGCGUAAAGCGCGCGUAGGUGGCCAAUUAAGUCAAAUGUGAAAUCCCCGAGCUUAACUUGGGAAUUGCAUUCGAUACUGGUUGGCUAGAGUAUGGGAGAGGAUGGUAGAAUUCCAGGUGUAGCGGUGAAAUGCGUAGAGAUCUGGAGGAAUACCGAUGGCGAAGGCAGCCAUCUGGCCUAAUACUGACACUGAGGUGCGAAAGCAUGGGGAGCAAACAGGAUUAGAUACCCUGGUAGUCCAUGCCGUAAACGAUGUCUACUAGCCGUUGGGGCCUUUGAGGCUUUAGUGGCGCAGCUAACGCGAUAAGUAGACCGCCUGGGGAGUACGGUCGCAAGACUAAAACUCAAAUGAAUUGACGGGGGCCCGCACAAGCGGUGGAGCAUGUGGUUUAAUUCGAUGCAACGCGAAGAACCUUACCUGGUCUUGACAUAGUAAGAACUUUCCAGAGAUGGAUUGGUGCCUUCGGGAACUUACAUACAGGUGCUGCAUGGCUGUCGUCAGCUCGUGUCGUGAGAUGUUGGGUUAAGUCCCGCAACGAGCGCAACCCUUUUCCUUAUUUGCCAGCGGGUUAAGCCGGGAACUUUAAGGAUACUGCCAGUGACAAACUGGAGGAAGGCGGGGACGACGUCAAGUCAUCAUGGCCCUUACGACCAGGGCUACACACGUGCUACAAUGGUCGGUACAAAGGGUUGCUACCUCGCGAGAGGAUGCUAAUCU
This 900-nucleotide ribosomal RNA is filed under the name Acinetobacter lwoffii. RNAcentral's name for it is "bacterial SSU rRNA". It matches the Rfam family "Bacterial small subunit ribosomal RNA", at positions 383 to 1274 of the family's 1533-position model. Lineage: Bacteria; Pseudomonadati; Pseudomonadota; Gammaproteobacteria; Moraxellales; Moraxellaceae. The record is from RNAcentral.